Molecule: ribosomal RNA, 460 nt
Filed under: uncultured bacterium
Lineage: Bacteria
Description: partial 16S ribosomal RNA
Rfam family: Bacterial small subunit ribosomal RNA
Source: RNAcentral
CCUACGGGAGGCAGCAGUGAGGAAUAUUGGUCAAUGGACGAGAGUCUGAACCAGCCAAGUAGCGUGAAGGAUGACUGCCCUAUGGGUUGUAAACUUCUUUUAUAUGGGAAUAAAACGUUCCACGUGUGGGAUUUUGUAUGUACCAUAUGAAUAAGGAUCGGCUAACUCCGUGCCAGCAGCCGCGGUAAUACGGAGGAUCCGAGCGUUGUCCGGAUUUAUUGGGUUUAAAGGGAGCGUAGGUGGAUUGUUAAGUCAGUUGUGAAAGUUUGCGGCUCAACCGUAAAAUUGCAGUUGAAACUGGCAGUCUUGAGUACAGUAGAGGUGGGCGGAAUUCGUGGUGUAGCGGUGAAAUGCUUAGAGAUCACGAAGAACUCCGAUUGCGAAGGCAGUUCACUGGACUGCAACUGACACUGAGGCUCGAAAGUGUGGGUAUCAAACAGGAUUAGAUACCCUGGUAGUC